GGGGCUGUACAGGUUUCGACAGGGAUAGAGAACGGAAGGAAGCGAGCCGUGUUUCACGCCUGGGGUACACGAAAAAGAACUGGGCAAUUAAAAUCAAAGGCAAACAAUAACGUUGCUUACGCUGCUUAAUUAAGCAGCAUCGCUGCUCAGGCCUUUCGCACUUGACGCAGAGCAAGCGAUAAAUCAUCAAGUGUAGGAUCAGGAUCUUUCUCCGAGGUCCUGUGGUAAUAAAGGAGAACACCAUUGCAAAGUUUGAUGUUUUGUAUGCGGUGGUUAAGAAAAGCAUCUGCGCUCGGAGAAGCUUUCGCUAUUUAUUUUUGGACGCGGGUUCGAUUCCCGCCAGCUCCACCA
This 351-nucleotide transfer-messenger RNA is filed under the name Bacillota bacterium. It matches the Rfam family "transfer-messenger RNA". Rfam says of the family: Bacterial tmRNA, also known as 10Sa RNA or SsrA, is named for its dual tRNA and mRNA-like properties. Its role is to liberate the mRNA from a stalled ribosome. RNAcentral also lists the same sequence under 2 other names. The record is from RNAcentral. Lineage: Bacteria; Bacillati; Bacillota.